AAAUUGAAGAGUUUGAUCAUGGCUCAGAUUGAACGCUGGCGGCAGGCCUAACACAUGCAAGUCGAACGGUAACAGGAAGCAGCUUGCUGCUUUGCUGACGAGUGGCGGACGGGUGAGUAAUGUCUGGGAAACUGCCUGAUGGAGGGGGAUAACUACUGGAAACGGUAGCUAAUACCGCAUAAUGUCGC
Molecule: ribosomal RNA, 188 nt
Filed under: Escherichia coli
Lineage: Bacteria; Pseudomonadati; Pseudomonadota; Gammaproteobacteria; Enterobacterales; Enterobacteriaceae
Description: partial 16S ribosomal RNA
Rfam family: Bacterial small subunit ribosomal RNA
Source: RNAcentral